RNAcentral lists this long non-coding RNA (35691 nucleotides) under Homo sapiens (human). RNAcentral describes it as "non-protein coding lnc-IRF2BP2-11:1". The stretch from base 20062 to 20209 matches the Rfam family "Metazoan signal recognition particle RNA". The record is from RNAcentral. Lineage: Eukaryota; Metazoa; Chordata; Mammalia; Primates; Hominidae.
AGGCUGUCAAAGGCAAUUGCCACAAGAGGUCAACGCCAAGGCUGCUCUGCAGAUAUGACCAGGGCUCAUUUUUUCCAUGAUCUUAGAGAAACUGGAUAAGCCCGGGGCAAAUCGGGCCCAGAGAUGAGAUGGUAGGACAUUAUGGCAGGCCCUGAAACCCCAGCGUGCCCCAGCAGAGGCCUGUGGUGGCCUCUGGGGAGGUGGGCGGUGGUGGAGGUCCGUGUGAGAGGGCAGCAGCAGCAGCAGAUUAGGCCCUGUGGAAGCCCACUUCCUUCCAGAGACAGUGCCAGGGGAGGAAGGGUCCAGACUGAGGGCAGGACGGGCCAGGGGGUGUGGCAGGCGGAUGCCCCCCUGGGCAGGUGACCUCAUCCACCCCUCCCGUGUCGCCUCCUCUGAUCUGCUCCCUCUGGAGAUGGGGAAAUCCAGAGUAGGGGCAACAGGAAGUAUAUUCCCAAGAAGACUGUAGACCCCCGCACAGGGAAACGAUGGAGCUCAGGAGGGGCGCUGAUCUCGGGAGCCUGGAUCCACCAGUUAUGCAAGUGAUGAAGUGAGUACGCACGGUCCUCGAGGCCAGGGCCGGCGCAGUAAGAACGAACAGGUUGUUCUGGAAAAUUGUCUGGCAGCCUCCCCGCGGCCUGCCUGCAGGAACUGGCAUCUGUGGAGUACUUUGCCUUGCUUGUUGAUCCACAGCACUUACCACAUCCUGGAGAAACAGGUCAAUACAGGUGGCCCUCAGGAGCCAUGGGCCCCAUGUUUGGAACUCUGACCCACACAGGGGCAACCUGAACUCCUGAGCCAUAGCCAACCCCUCCCACCCGGGGCCUCUGAUGAGCUGGGCCCCCCUGCAAAUAACGUUCCUGUCUGUUUCCAUCUGUGAGCUCCUGCUCGCGAUCUAAGGCCCAGCUGAAAGUGCUUCUUCCUUCCUGGGCCACCUUCCUUUCAUUCUCAGCUUUUCUAAAUUAUGAACAUUUCAAACAUUCCCAAAGGAGAGAGAGUGCACGAUGCACCUGAACCAUAUGUCGCCCAGAAUCCAUGGCUAUCAAGAUCUUACCACAGUUGCUUCAUGGAUCCCUGCCUCUACUUAUUUCUUUCUGAGUUGCUUUAAUGUUUCACGCCACUUUAUAUCUAUGUACUAGAUUUUGCAUCUCUAAAAUAGAGGGGCAUUUUUAUACGUAAUGAUGUUAUGGUCGUCUGGCCUAAAAAUUGCCAACACUUCCUUGCUAUCUAUCAUUCAAUACCCAGUCCAUAUUGAAAUUUCCCUUCUGAAAAUUAAUUUUUGGAAUCAAGUCUACCAUCGGAUUUGGUUGAAUUUCUGAAGGAAGGGGGUCCAUUGCUCUGCCGAAUGUCCCCACAUGGCUUCUGUCUCCAUCCACCACGUAUGUCCAGCUUGCGGCCCUGACUCUAGGUGCCCUCAAUUAUGCCCACUGUGGAAACGGCCUUUCUGCCACAUCUGAAGCUUGAGCCUUGGAGGCAGGCAUGACGUCUCAUCUCUGUGUUCUUUGUGGUUCCCAAGGCAAUGCGUGGUGUAUCCGAAGUGCUCCACUGAGUCUCGAAAACGUCCCUGCAUUGGAGGGAUCAUGGAGUGAAUUUUGUCUUUGCCACUCCACUUACAACUUCAAGUCUGGAGAUUUUGAAACACCCCAUGACUGGGAGUGACCGCUGGCUCGGAGAGGUUUGUACACAGAGCAGAGGGUAGACUAGAUGACCCUUAAGAUCCACCAUGACUCUGCAAUUCAGGCAUGCGGAACCUGGCUGAUGACAGACAUCGACUUUGUCCUCCAACCUUUUUCCGGGACUUAUCAAUAUUCUCGUGGUUAAAUUCCACAAGCUGGCAUGAUCUGAGGAGGGAAAUUAGGACAUGGUUUCUUGCCAUUACUUUUUACAGCUUGGCAAGGGGCAGGAGGCUGCCAUCCCCUUCUGUGGUUGCUGUGUCAUUCUGUGGGGUUGCUGGAGCCGGGGCCUGAGGUGUCAGGGCGGUGGAAGCUCCUGACCCUGCCCUGCUUUCUGACCCACCUCUCAUCUCACAACCUCUGACCUUGUUUAUUUCUAGAGGCAUAAUCUGUGUGCCAUAUUGUGAGUAAAUGAGAAAAUGUGGCUUGGAUUAUGGAAUUCAGCUUUAUGAUUCAUUUGUUCAGCAAGCUCUUUUUGAGAAUCUAUCUUGUGCCAGGCCCUAGAUUCUGGGGGUUUAAAAAUUGCCAAGACCCAGGCGUGGUGGCUCACGCCGCUAAUCCCAGCAUUUUGGGAGGCCGAGGUGGGCGAAUCACAAGGUCAGGAGUUCGAGACCAGCCUGGCCAACAUGGUGAAAACCCGUCUUUACUAAAAAUACAAAAAAAAUUAGCUAGGCAUGGUGGUGGGUGCCUGUAAUCCCAGCUACUCGGGAGGCUGAGGCAGGAGAAUCGCUUGAACCCAGGAGGCGCAGGUUGCAGUGAGGCGAGAUCUCACCACUGCACUCUAGCCUGGAUGACAGUGCAAGACUCCAUCUGAAAAAAAAAAAAAAAAAAACAACAAAACAAGAACGGCCAAGACCCACCUUGCUAGCAAGAAGUUCACUGUCUAAUGACAGAGACAGACCAAAGUGGCAUAAGAGAGCAAGCCUGAAUGCUAUGAGAGAGACCCAUUUCAGACUGCUGGGGUAUAGGAGGGCUUCCUGGAGGAGGCAGCUUCUAAGUUGAGUCUUAAAGGGUGAAGUACAGACAUGAAAGAAGCAAUGCCUGGGAAGGUACUCAAGAAAAAGCAUGAUGUGGUGGGGAAGGGCUGCAGCCCAGCCCUGUGCCUGCAUCCCACGCAUUUCUACUUGAUUCCUUAGCUCCCUAAACCUUGCUUGUCUCAUCUGUAAGGUGGAGAUAAAAAUAACAGUCUUCUUUUAUUAUGUGAGUUGCAAAUGACAGAGUGCAUGUGAAGGCUCCUGGUGCCAAAAAUGUUAGCAGAAUUGAGUGGAAGCAGAGUGAACACUCACUGAGGGCCGGGAGACUUAGGAGGGAGCUGGACCCCCCGGGAUGCUUUGCUGGAUGACCACAGCUUGGGGAGGGGGCUACUGCCUUUGGAGAAUGGCAACACUAUCAUGCAGCUCAGAAGGCUGGAGUCUAAUACCCUGCUCAGCAACCAGGCAUAGUCCAUUCCAUCACAGAGCCUGGGUUCACCUUGAGGACAGUGAGAACUCAGCCCUGGCCAUGUGGAAGUCAAAGCGUGCAGCACCUACGUACAUGGACCUCACCUGUCAUCCAAGUCUCCAAACCACACUGCAAUACAAACAUCGCCAAAGUAGCAGGCUUCUCUCCUCUGGGUGACAUCCACAGGGCAGAUCUGAGCAACACUUAGUGUCUCCUGGGACCUUCCCAGCCUCGGACAGAAUGGUUGUUAGAGGAACAAGGUAAUGGUGAUAUACGCGGGACCUGCCAGUUUGUUAGGCCGGUGGCUUUAAUGGCUAUUUUGGAGGUGACAUUCCAUUAGGGGUGAUUGGACUUAAUUUUAAUGGCAGGAUGACUUAAUGUGUCAUCAUUCUCUCCUAGGCCUGAAGGUCAAUGGGAAAAGUUUCUUUCCUCCAGGAAUUACACUACAAAAUUUCCAUAACACAGCGCCAAUUUUGGUCAUGCUAAAAUAUUGAGCUGUAAGAAGUACCCUUCUGCACAAACAAGCUGGAUUUUUGGGCCUCUUGGUCCAGUCACCCUGGAGUCAGAUAACUUAGGGUGAAAUGUUGACUUCGUCACUCCCUGGCUGUGUGGCCUUAGACAACAUACUUAACCUCUCUGUGCCUCAGUUUCCUCAUCUACAGAGCUGGGUAAUCAUAGUAUGCGCUUCCUAGGGUUGUUGUGAGGACUAAUUUGGUGUGUGUAAAACCUGGAAGGGCUGCUAAGGGCUGCUAUUAUUAGCUCUCUAGGGAAAGGACCAGCAUAAGCAGUAAUUUGCCAAACACAUUCAAAGGCACUUUUGAACAGAUGGUCAGGCUAGGGUGAGGGGUUGAGGGAGGAGCAGUGGGAGGUGCGUGUGGAACGGAGGGUUGGGGUGGAUGGCAGAGGCAUAGGAAUGCCAGGCCCGUGAGUUUAAAAGGCAUCUUGAAUGACAUCCCACCACCCAGAGCACUUCUGCGCGGUUCACAAGCGAGAAAGACAAUGAGAAAGUAGUAUUUUUGGAGGAUCUUUGCUGACAGCAGGAAUGAAAAGAAAUAAAUAUAUAUGAGAGCCAUUAUGAAGGGAACCCUGCAGGACCUCGCGGCUAAUUGGAUGUGGGGCUGAGGGAGCAGGAGGAGUCUAGGGUGACUUUGAGGUGUGGAGUGAGGUGACUCACAGAAGAUAGUGUCGUCGCUGGCACUAGAAAGCCACCAGAGGAGCUGGUUUGGAGGGAGGAGGAUGGAUUCAUUGGUUUUAGGCAUGUUGCACGGGAUACUGUAGCCAGGAGCCAGGGUCUGGCCCUCGGGAACUGGGUCAGGGUUGGGAUGGAGACUUGGCCAUCAUCUGCAGAGAUAAGCAGGGUUUCUCUGUCUUUGAGAGUGAGUAGAGUGAGGGGGAAGCAUAGAAAAUUGAGGACAGAUACAGGGAACACUGGCAGGGGCUAAAACUGACAAAGGAAGAGGAGAUCGCGAAGAAGGCAAAGAGAAGGCUGGAAGAGAGCAGUGCCUGGAGGAAGCAGGAACAGGUGUCUGUGGGCAUGACUCAGGGGAGGAAAGUUGUUAGAUGCUGCAGAGGCCAAGAGGGGCCACGCAGGUAGGAGCCGCUGGGAUCAGCCCUGGGUAGCCUGUGCAGAGGCAGCCUGGGUGGACCAUGGAGAUGUGAAUACCAGCUGGAAGGCAAGUCUGAGGUGGGUGCUGGAUGAAUCAGUGGUGGAACUUAGUUUUAAGAAUUUCCACAAAGUGCCAGAAGUGGGAAGAUGGUGUCUUCUUUUUAUCCUUUUCUUUUCUUUCUUUCUUUUCUUUCUUUCCUUCCUUCCUUUCCUUCCUUCCUUCCUUGUCUGCCUUCCUUCUGUCUCUUUCUCUCUCUUUCUUCCUUUCCUUUCCUCCUUUCCUUUCCUUUCCUUUCCUCAUUGCAUUUAGCAGAGACUCAGUGUCUUCUUCCUCUUCUUCUUCCUCUUCCUCUUCUUCUUCUUUUGCAAACUCUGCCUCCUGGGUUCAAGUGGUUCUCCUGCUUCAGCCUCCCAAGUAGCUGGGAUUACAGGUGCUCACCACCAUGCCUGGCUAAUUUUUGUAUUUUUAGUAGAGACGAGGUUUCACCAUGUUGACCAGGCCGGGCUCAAACUCUUGACCUCAGGUGAUCUGCCUGCCUCGGCCUCCCAAAGUAUUGGGAUUACAGGCAUGAGCCACUGCCUCUGACCAGAUAGUGUCUUCUUGAAUGGGGAAAAUACCAGCACUUCUGGCAGUUAAGAAGUCCAGUUCUUCAACUCACUAAGCUGCCUUCUGGAGCCCGAACCAGGAAUGCAGUGAUAAAGAGAUGCAGGCUGGAAAAGUUUGAACAACCUGGCCCCAGAUUCCCCAUCUGUGAAGGGGCACUGAGGCUAGGUCGUACUUGGGCAAUUUUUGUGCUGCCCUUAGCUCAUGAGCCCCUUCACCAAAGCUAGGUGACCUCUGAGUCCCUUCAUAUUAGACCAGAGAUCCCAAUCGUGGGGCAUUGCAGCCCCAUCAUGUGUGGGUUGUGGGCCUCCCAUGCUCCUAAAAGCCCAGUGCAAUCAAAAUAGCUAAUGAUUAUUAAAAACUUUUUGGAUUGCAGAUGACUGACAGGUAUAUUCCCACAUAAGCUAGUUAUUAUUAUCUUGUUUAUACAGUCAAGACAUUUGAAGUCCAGAAAUGUGACCGAUUCACACAGCUAGAAUGGAACUUCAACCCAGGCCCCUUACACUCCAAGUUCAAGGCUUUUUCCAUCGUGAUAUGCUAUUUUAAAAUCCGAGUGGAUUAAAAUUAAAUUUUUUUUUUUUUUUUUUUAGACGGAGUCUCGCUCUGUCGCCCAGGCUGGAGUGCGGUGGUGCGAUCUCGGCUUACUGCAAGCUCCACCUCCCAGGUUCAUGCCAUUCUCCUGCCUCAGCCUCCUGAGUAGCUGGGACAACAGGCUAAAAUUAAAAUUUUAACUUGACUAGUGUGGAGAAUUUUGUGUAACUCUUUGAGCUGUUUAGCAAAAUCUACAUAGCCCACCUUGCUGGUUGUGGGGACACUGGCAUCUCUUGCAUGGAAACCUGGCUGGUUUUAACCUUUUCUGCUAUUGCAGAUGGGGAAAGUGAAGUGGCUCCUAUUGACUUUCUGCUGCCGCUUCCAGGUCUGACUUGCACACAGGGCCAUGAUGCCUGGUGCUUCCUCGGCUCUUCCAGUUGUUUAUGUUCAGCCGAGGGCAGUGGAUCCCAAAAAUAGCAGGCUCUGGCUCGAAGUUCUACCUACAUAACUUCUGGGAGCCAAGCCCUCUCUCUCCCUGGCAGGAAUGGGUCCUGGGAACAUGCAGAGAUUCUCCCUGGUGGCAUAUGGUUUUCCAUGGUGGCCGUGACUCAGGAACUCACUGCCAUGCUGCCUGACUCUCUACUCUGCCUUUGGGCUCCUGUCUUGCUGGUGUAGGCUGACUUUGAUGUGACCUCGAGAUUAGCCACCGCCACACUGAGGUCUCUCUUCCUGUCUUCGUGUUGCUGACCUCAUCUCGUCCAGCCUCCAACCCCAUCUGAUGAAGGAAGGGGGCAAGUAUGACAGCUGUGCCCCAAGUAUAAUAGCUCACAACCCGCUACCAAAUACAAUGUCUUUCCCCACUCAAUUCUUAUUCUUCCUUCAGGGUUACAAUUCCAAAUUUCACUCAUGCUAUUUUUUUUUUUUUUUUUUUUGUAAGACGGAGUCUCACUCUGUCACCCAGGCUGGAGUGCAGUGGAGCGAUCUUGGCUCACUAGAACAUCAGCCUACUGGGUUCAAGCAAUUCUCCUGUCUCAGCCUCCCAAGUAGCUGGGACUACAGGCGUCUGCCACCACACCCUGCUAAUUUUUGUAUUUUUAGUAGAGACAGGGUUUCACCAUGUUGGCCAGGCUGGUCUCGAACUCCUGACCUCAGGUGAUCCACCCACCUCGGCCUCCCAAAGUGUUGGGAUUACAGGCGUGAGCCACCCCGCCCAGCCUCUUGCUAUUUCUUUCAAUGCUCCCUGUGCCUUGACAGAGAUCCAGGGAUUGUGUUGAAGACAAUAUGUGUAAAAGUAACCAGCAUUGCACCCUAAAUUGUCCUUCCCCUCUGACAAUUGGCCACCAUCUCUGUAUUAAGCACAAGCACCUCAACAGGCCCUCCGCUGAGGAUGCAGGUGAGGACGGGCUGGAUGUGCCUUUUAUCCCCUCUUUGUGGUGUUACUUGCUCUAUUGCAGAAUCGAGCAUUGGCCCCAUUAUUCCUGAAUGAGUCAGAAGUCUCCGCCCCUCUGCUGAACAGGCCGAUGUGUCCCUUGACACACACGUGAUAAUGGUGCAGUUAAAAAAACAAACCCAUAGAGAUAUGGAAGUGCAGAUGUGUAGACGCCCCAUGGUUUUUGGUGACACAAACGUCAGCUGUAGCUCAGGGACGUCCUCCUGAUAGAACUCGCCAUUGUGGCAGGCAACCUCUGAGAUGAACUCAGAUAGUCUUGCCUGCUGACACCCAUGCUCUUGUGUAGUCUCUUCCCACGCUGAAUAGGGCUGACUGUGUGACCAAUAGGAUAUUCUAGAGAUGACCGACUAUGACCUCUGAGGCUGGGUUAUAGAAGAAGUGGUGCUUCUGGCUGGGUGAGGUGACUCACACCUUAUUCCAGCACUUUGGGAGGCCGAGGCGUGUGGAACACUUGAGGUUAGCAGUUUGAGACCAGCCUGGCCAACAUGGUGAAACCCUGUCUCUACUAAAACUAUGAAAAUUAGCCAGGCGUGGUGGUGAGUGCCUAUAAGUCCGGCUACUCGGGAGGGUGAGGCAGGAGAAUUGCUUGAACCUGGAUGACAGAGGUUGCAGUGAGGCAAGAUCAUGCCACUUCACUCCAGCCUGGGCAAAAGAGCGAAACUCCAUCUCAAAAAAAGAAAAAAAUAAUAAUAAGAAGAAGAAACGGUGCUUCCCUCCUUGUUCUCUUGGAACACUUACUCUGGGGGAUGCUAGCGCCACCUCAUGAGGACAUUGAAGAAACCAUACAAACAGGCCCAUGCAGCGAGGGCUAAUGGUCCCCAACAGUCAGCAUUGACUUGUAGGCUGUGUGACCAUGGGGACAUCUCAGAAGCAGAUCUUCCAACCCCAGUCAUGCCUUCAGGUGACAGUAGCCUUGGCUGACAUCCGAACUAUAGCCUGUGCCAGAACCAUCCAGUGAAGUCACUCCCAGAUUCCUGACCCACAAAGACUAUGACAUAAGAAAUGCUCACAUUUUGAGUGCUAAGUUUUGGGCUAAUUUGUUACACAGCCACUGAUAACUGAUACACCCAUGGCAAGGACACAGGGACUUCUGACUCAGUCUGGAUUCUCAGUCUGACUUGCCUGUGUUUCCAGCUAAUGUUGAGUCCUAUCCACCGAGCCUCCCAGUACUGCUUCUGGCGACAUGCAGCUGCACUGAGGCAUUUGAGACCUGGUGUUUCUACUAUCUGGAUCACUGAAGGAACCUUGGAUGCUUUUUUCUAAGCCUGGUAAAGCCAUGCAGCAGAUCAGCAGGAGGGCACACAUUAGCCCACGGGCUGCCUGAGCCCUGGCCUGCAGCUACUCACCUCCUCCUCCUCCUGGGGCUUCACUCCUGUGCUCAUUCCAUCAGCUAUGAGAGUUCAGCUUGACACACAGAGCCUGGUCUCACAGUCACUUAUGAGGGGCCAUGAGUUCCAGGGUUUCAAACCAGAGAAGAUGGGGCUGAUAUAUUUUGUCCAUCAGAAACAGCAGAGUCCCACCAUGCUAGAAAGACUGUUAGGAGGGUAUAGUGAGCCUGGCAUGGAGCAGGCACUGAAUUGUUUGGUGACUGAGGGGGACUUGGUCUUGCAUCCUCCAUCACGCUGCUCAGAGAGACGUGGGGCAGAGGUUGUGCUGUGUGUGUGUGUGUGUGUGUGUGUGUGUGUGUUUGUUUGUUUGUUUCUUUCUUUUUAUUUUAUUUUAUUUUUGAAACGAGUUUCACUCUUGUUGCCCAGGGUGGAAUGCAAUGGUGCGAUCUCGGCUCACUGCAACCUCCACCUCCUGGGUUCAAGUGAUUCUCCUGCCUUAGCCUCCCGAGUAGCUGGGACUACAGGCAUGUGCCACCACGCCCGGCUAAUUUUGUAUUUUUAGUAGAGUUGGGGUUUCACCAUGUUGGUCGGGCUGGUCUCGAACUUCUGACCUCAGGUGAUCCGCCCUCCUGGGCCUCCCAAAGUGCUGGGAUUACAGACGUGAGCCACCAUGCCUGGCUUAUUUAUUUUUAUAGAGAUAGGAUCUUGCUUUGUUGCCCAGGCUGGAGAGCAGUGGCAUGAUCAUGGUUUACUACAGCCCCAAACUCCUGAGGGGGUGAUCCUCCUGACUCAGCCUCCUAAGUAGCUUGGAUUACAGGAAUGUGCCGCUAUGCCCAGCUAAUCAUUUAUUUAGAGAUGGGGUCCCAUCGUGUUGCCCAGGCUGGUCUUGAACUCCUGGCCUCAACUGAUCCUGCUGCUUUGGCCUCCUAAAGUGCUGGGAUUACAGGUGUGAGCCCCUUGCCCAGCCUGCACUGUUUUCUGGAGCUCACACUUUCAGAAAGAAAUAGGAACACUGGAGUGGAAGAAUGGGCGUGGAUGAAGAGAUUGAUGGGGACUUCCAACUCAUGCAAGCAAGUGCAGCAUUUGGCAGGGGAGGCUCACAGCACAUCCCACUUCUGCAAGUCACCAGUGGGUCUUUUCUUGCCACAGGGAUCCAUCUAGGGGUCCAAGGUAUGAAGUGAGUGGGAGGGACUUACAGAGAGACACACGUCAGCUCUGCCUGGAGAAGGAUGUCAUGGAUCUCAGUGGCACACCCAGGUCUCAGAGAGGCAAUGAGUUGCUUGUCACAGGAGUUGUUUAUUCCCAGCCAGGUGGCUGGGAUGGGAGUCUCAGGAGAUGAGAGGACUAUACUGUUUUUUUCCUGGAGAGGUACAUUUCUCUAGUCUGUGGAUCAGGCUCCUAAAAGUCCUGCGGAGGCUGCAAUUCUGCUGCUUCCCUGCCAUGGACUGCCAAAUGGGCUGGGUGAAGGAAGGUCCUAUUCUCAAUGGCAUUUCCAGGACCUCUCUGUGUGUGUGAUCUGGCUACUUUAGACAGCAAUGGUAUAUUUGCCUUGGCUGAUGGGAGUCCCUCAUCCCUUGAGCAGUUUUGUGGAGAGCAGGAGAAAUGUAUCACAGUGUCUUGACGCUCCUGAAAAGCGUAUGAGUCACUAGUACCAGGGAACCUGGCGUCCUUUUCUCAGUCAUUGAGCUUGCGAGCCAGAUCCGAAUCAUCUUUCCUUCUGCAGUCCUUAAUUAUGGGGGAAAAAAAUGGACUUGUAGAAACCAGUCCUGUGUUUCUGGAUGUGGAAGGACUCUGAGCUUUCUCUUGGGCAGAGGGGUUGGAAGGGGACAGGGCACAGAGGGCAAGGGCUCUGCAUGAUGCCCAGGGGAGUAGAGUCCAGCCUCCAGCCUCUUGUCUCCCAGAGCCCUCCCUGGUGGUCAGUGUUGUGGCCUUGAGCCCCCAGUAGGCCAGUGCUCACUUGGAUCCUGCAGCCCAGGCUGGGGCUGGGGAUGAAAUCUGUGGCCUCCAUCAAUCAUAGCAAAUGCAUUGUCCCCAGUCGAUGACAAAAGGCCAGGAACUGGAACCUCCCCAGACCGACUCAGCUAGUUCACUUGGCUAGAGCCCAGGCUGGUGGGAACCGGAUGUUUUGUGGAGGAUUGGCGUCUCUCUCCCUGCCUGUGCCCCACGCCGCUCAGUGCUUUCCCUUGGAGUCCUCAACCGUGGAACCGGUGCAUUCUUUCCUGGGCAGCUGCUCUGCUCACUUCCAACAUGUUGUGCUCUGAGCUCAUAAAAUCAGAGGAAUCAAAGGCAGAAGCUGCAAGCGCUCAGGCCUGCGGGGACCGGCGGCUUUGGAAACUCCAGUUUGCUUUCUUCUUUCCAUGUGUGGCAGAUGUGCCUGUCUCAUCUUGUAGCGCCUUGGCCAGCUUUUGCUUUUCCGCAGAGGAAGGUAAAGCAAAGCUGUGGCCAGAGACCCCUGAGGCUGGAAAAACGUUUAAAGCCCGAGGGGGAGGGCUGCCCUCCCAAUGCAGAUAAAGGAAUGAAACAAUAGAGCAGUUGUCCAUUUGGAAUCCUGGGAAAAGCUCAAAAUACGACAGGGAGGUCAGAUCAGGCUGGACCCAUCUGUAGCACUGAGGGCUGGAGGGGGAAUGUUCUGGGCUUGGAAGGCUUCUCUUUCCCCUCUGGUCUCAUGAGCCUACUGUCUUAUUAAUGAAUUUGGUUUGCCUAGAGGUCCUGACUCAGUGGCCAGUUUGGUUCCAAAGCAGGUAGUGGCCCCUCUUGAAAAACAGCUGCCCACCUGUUGACCUCAUCUUUUAAAAACAUGCAGGACAUCCAUCCACGUGAGAGAUCCCUGUGGGUCUCAUGGGCCAUCCCUGGCUGCCCCUUCAUUCUUGACCCUGCCCCAUCCCUCCGGGGUCACAUUUGGAUCUGGGAGAAAUAUUUGGCAAAUGUGAAAAUGAUAGGUUUAGCAAGAGCCUGAGGAACUGGUAGGGAAAGACUUGUUUCGUUCACGUUUACUUUUUGAACAGAUAAUUCAUUUUCUUGGUUCACAAAUCAAAACUAUAAAAACCAUGACUUCUACCCUUGCUCCCAUUAACCCCAACCCAAGUAACCACUUAUAUUAAUUUCUUGGGUGUCUUUAUGAUAUACAAACAAAUGUGUGUGUAUAACUUUGUACAUAUAUAUUUUUUCUUUUUCUUUCCCCCUUUCACAGAAAGGAACUGCAGCGGCCUUUGAGAGAAUGAAAAAAUACUCAAUCUCACUUAGGUUCAGAGACAUGCAAAUUAAAACUAUAAUAAAAUACCCAUGUGGCAAGGCUGACAGAAGUUAGCAUUCUGUGCAAACUGGUUUGGACUUUGCUCUUUUCACUUACCUGUGUAUAUAUCUUGGACAUCUUUCAAAUCAGUACAUAAAGAACGUCCUCAUUCAUUUUUUACAGCUUAAUAGUUUCCUAGUUAUGGACACAUCGUAAAUUUAUCUAACUGGUUUCUAUUACAGACAUUUGAUUUGCUUCCAAUCUUUUGCUACUACGAACCAUGCUACCCAGGAUGCUUCCUAUACAUGUAGGUAUACUGGUAGAAUAAAUUAAGGCAAGUGGCAUUAUUGAGAUAAAGGGUAAACAUAUUUAUAAUUUUGGUAAGGGUUUUCAGACGUCUUCAACAGAGUGUACACUAUGCACUGCCACUAGUAAAGAAUGAGAGUCUCUCUUUCUCCAUAGCCUUGCCAUGCAGGCAUUUCAUUGUAGUUUCAAUUUGUGAUUCUCUUAUUAAAGUGAGAUGGAGCACUCACUUUAAUUCCAUUCUUUCAAGACCCAUUUGCAUCUCCUUUUCUAUGAGCUUCCUCUUCAUCUCCUUUGCCCAUCUAAAGAAAAACUGUCUUGUUCACUUUGGUCUUUUUCCUUAACCAUGCCUAGUAGCUAUUUGUGUGUUAAGGAAAGAUUGGCUCUCUGGGAUAUGAGUCACUCCACAUUAUUGUUUGUCUUUUAAUUUUGCUUAUGUUUUGUGGAUGUCUAAGUUUUUUAAAAAUUAGGUGGUAUAAUAUAGUAAUCUUUUUUUUGUAUGAAUUCUGGAUAAAAGAAAGGCCUUCUAUUCUCCAAAGUUCUAAAGGAAUUUGCCGAUAUUUUCUUCUAGUUCUUCUAUGGCUUCUUUUCUUUUCUUUUCCUUUUCCUUUUUCUAUUUUUUGAGACAAGAUCUUGCUCUGUCACCCAGGCUGGAGGGCAGUAGCACAGUCUUGGCUUACUGCAGCCUUGACUUCCUAGGGCUCAGGUGAUCCUCCUGCCUCAGCCUCCUGGGUAGCUGAAAUUACAGGCACGUGUCACCAUGCCUGGUUAAUUUUUGUACUUCUUGUAGAGAUACAUGUUGCCCAGGCUGGAGUUUUCAUUUUUCAAGAGUUUGUAUCUUGGCCAGGUGGCCAGGUAUGGUGGCCCAUGCCUGUAAUCCUAGCACUUUGGGAGGCCAAGGCAGGUGGAUCACCUGAGGUUGGGAGGUGGAGACCAGCCUGACUAACAUGGAGAAACCCCAUCUCUACUAAAAAUACAAAAUUAACUGGAUGUGGUGGCAUGUGCCUGUAAUCCCAGCUACUCAGGAGGCUGAGGCAGGAGAAUUGCUUGAACCCAGGAGGUGGAGGUUGCAGUGAGCUGAGACUGCACCAUUGCACUCCAGCCUGGGCAACAAGAGCAAAACUCCAUCUCAAAAAAAAAAAAAAGAGUUUGUAUCUUUAAUCCAUUUGGAUUUGACUCUGGGGAAAAAUGUGAGGCAUGGAUUGAACUUAACUCUUUUCCAGUUGUUCUGAUAUCGUUUAGUAAUACCAUUCCUCUAGUGGUUAGAGAUAUCACCUUCAUAAUUUACAGAAUCUCUGAUUAUAAUUGGGUCUAUUUCUGCAUUUUCUAGUUUAUUCCAUUGUUUGGGAUGUCUGUCCGUUGGCCAGUACUAUGCUGUUUUCAUUACUGAGACUUUACAAUACACUUUGAAAUGUGAUAGAGCUAUUUUUUCUCAUUCCUUUUCGUUUUGUUUCUUGCUGUUUUUGCUUUUCCUUUCUUUUUCUAUUCUUUACCUGGCUAUUUUUUUUUUAAAUUUGGAAUGGAGAGCUUUAUUUCACAUAAAGGGCUGCAGCCUGCAGGGUGGCCAUUCUGACAGGUUGGGAAGCAUAGUCUCUGGCCAGAAACCAGAAACAGAAACUUUGAGAGUCAGAAGAAUAAGACAGAUAUUUAUAUUAAAUGGGGUUGUCAAAUAUACAUAUUCAAUAAGCUGGAGGAGGAGUCAUGAACAUUUAUGAAAGGAGAAACAUGCGUGUGUGCAAUUGAGCUUCAUGCCUCUCUAGGGGACCCAUGUUCAAGACAUGGCAGUGGGGUUAGCACAAUCCAAGGGUGGGGUUUUUGGUCCUCUGACGUCAAAUGGUGAAGCAGAGGACAUGGACACCCUCUGCACAUCCUGCUUAGACUGCCUGGCUAUUCUUGCUUGUUUCAUUUUUCCAUAUGAACUUUAGAGUCAGCUUAUCUAGGUUUUUUUUGAAAAAGAUUAUUUGUAUUGAGGUCACAUAAAAUUUAUAAAUUCUUUUUAGGAGAAGUGAUGUGGUAAUGAAUCUUUCUCUCUUAGAAGGUAGUAUGUGUUCCCAUUGGUUCUAUUGUUCCUUUGCAUUUUUAAAGGUUAGUUUCUCUCUUAGGCAUUUUGCAUGCAUGUUAGUAAGUUUAUUUGAAGGUAUUUUUUGUGUUGCUGUUGUAAAAAAACCCAAACAACUCUUGAAGGAUACACCAUUUUUCUCACUCUAUCCUCUGCCUGGUUGAUACUUGUACAUAAUACUGUUGUUAUCUAUUACGUUAGUGUGUACCAUGCUACCUUUUUUUUUUUUUUGAGAUGGAGUCUGGCUCUGUUGCCCAGGCUGGAGUGCAAUGGUGUGAUCUCAGCUCACUGCAACCUCCGCCUGCCGGGUUCAUGUGAUUCUCCUGCCUCAGCCUUCUGAGUAGCUGGGACUACAGGGGCACACCACCACGCCUGGCUAAUUUUUGUAUUUUUAGUAGAGACGGGGUUCCGCCAUAUUGGUCAGGCUGGUCUCGAACUCCUGACCUCAGAUGAUCCUCCCGCCUCGGGCUCCCCAAGUGCUGGGAUUACAGGCAUGAGCCAUUGCACCAGUCCCAUGCUACUUUUUUCAGAAAGCCUAAUUAAUGUAAAGAAUACAAAUGUUAUUUGGGUAAGUACCCAAAAUGAGUAUUUUAGAAAUUAGAAGAAGGCAGUCCCAAAUAGAUUUUAGGAAAACCAUAAUUGGGGUGGGAUGCUUAAGAGUGUGCUUCUUGAGAAUUAGGGAUCCUUCAACAUGGUGGAAUUUGAGGGAUGUAACAUAAUUUCAGGAACUCAUUCUGCACCAAGAAUAAAGAUGUGUGAGAGCACAAGCAGUUACCUGCAAAAGAAUUUGUGAUGAGCUCAUCUGUGGUUGGAUUCCUUCAGGUCCUAGAGCACAGAAGUGAAAUGCCAAAGGCCUAAAUUCAGUGGGAAGCAGGGUUCUCACUGGCUACAAAACCUGCAGCUUCAGAAAGGAGCAGUGCAGGGGGGCACUGGCCACUGAGGGCCAUGGGUCCUCAGCUUUGACCACCCCUCAGAACUCAUCAGAGCAAAGCCCCCAGCUGUUUCCUCUCUUAGAGCAUGAGGGAAAGAAAUGGAGAUCUAGCACUCAUCUGUUCCUUUGGAGAUGGAAAGAAAAAUGGAAUUCACAGGUGGCCUUCAAGAGCCCAGUGAGAAACAGUGAGCCCAUUCUGCUCUGUCUCUGGGAUCAGUCAAAGGCAGAAUGGGCAGGUGCAGCCCCAGCACCCUAACACCUUUAGUGCCACCAGUAUGGUUUAUCCAACCAAGGAUUUGGGGUUCUUCUGCGACUUGGGGCUCUUUUAGGGAACAAAGUUUAUUUUCUUCUUCGUCUUCGUCUACUACAAAUAAGAGGAAGGAGGGAGCUGUUACUGCGCACCCAUGCGUUAUGCUUGGUGCAGUCUGUAUGUCCUCAAGGCAUGCCUCGAAAUCAUUCUCUCUGCUUUUAUGGAUGAAGAAAUGAAGGCUCAGGAGGGCAAUUAACUUUCUGAAGGCAACUUGGCUGGGAAUUAGCUGCUGUAGGGUCCAGGGAGGAGGAGGAUGGAGGUAGUGGAGCUCUGGACACCUCCUUCUUCUUGCUUGAAUGAAAGCAGCUCCGCGUUGUGUAUGGGUUUCCCAUUGAGCUAUGCUUUGAAGAAAGGAUUCUACUUGGAAAGAGUCUGUGUUCCCAGACAGGUCUAUUCUAUGUUUCUCAGCCCCAGAGAUGGGUUUUGAAUUUGCAGCACCUCCCCACUCCUACCCCUACCCCAACCCCCGCUCAUACUAUAGCCCCCACUUUGCCUAGUGGAUUGGAGGGGUCCCAACCCACUGAGGAGCAGUAUCAGGUGCUGAAGGCUCAGAGGGGACUCAGGGCUGGGAGAUGGCAAUGGCAGCUCCCAGCCAAGCUCUGGUCCUCUCCAACCGAUUGCCACAGCCAGCUUCAGGCUGGAAGGCUCUGCAGUGGAGUGAAGCUGACAUUUCUCUCAGGAACUACAAUGGGGAAAAAUGCUGCCAGCCACCCUCUCCCUACUCCCUCCAGACCCUGACAAAAGGGUUCCCCAACCAACCGUACCAGUUACUCAGCAGUGUCUUUGAUAAGAAUUAGAAACUCAGGAAUUACUUCAACCAAGCUGAUGGAUUGUAAAGGUACUUGAGCUCAUUAUAUUCUCUUCCAGACUGACUUUUCUUUUGCACUUAAUGAUGAAUAGUCCUUGGUGCUUCUGUGAUCUUACUCCAAGAUUUUAAAAAAUCCUAGGAAUAAGAACUUUUUCUCUUUUUUAAGAGAAAGGGUUCUACUCUGUUGCCCAGUCUGGCGUGCCAUGGCGUGAUCAUAGCUUGCUGCAGCUUCAAUCUCCUGGGCUCAAGAGAUUCUCCUAGUUCAGCCUACUGAGUAGCUGGUACUACAGGCAUACCUGGCUAAUUUUUUCAAUUUUUUGUAGCGAUGAGGUCUCACUAUGUUACCCAAGCUGGUCUCGAACUUCAGCCCUCAAGCGAUCCUUCCACCUUAGCCUCCGAAAACGCUGGGAUUAUAGGAAUAAACCACCAUGCCUGGCCUAGAACAUUGUUAUUAGCAUCAUCAUUACUAUCCUCCUUGUCCUAUUCUGGCUUCCAAAUUGGACUGCGUCUAACAUUGAUGGCUGAAGCCAAGACAUCAUUCUUAUCACCAUGACAACAAACAUAAUACUGAAUUAAAUAAUCGGCUUUUAUAGGAAGUGCUCAGUGCACUAGGCCUGAUACCAAACUUGAGAAAACUCAACUUUAGAGAUAGGAAAAAAGGACUAUCUAGAGAGAAGAGGUCAUUUAUUCCACAUUUCUUGCAAAGAUAAAGGCAAAUUCUGGAAAAACACUGCGCUCUGCUCUCCCUGGUGAUUGUGAGCAGUUACAGCUUGUGAAGAUCUCACAUCCUGGGCAGAAUUCCAUGGCAGGAGGGCUGCAUUUUGUAGUCAAUGACUGGGCUGCCUGUGGAUGGGCAGCUGUGUUCAGACCUGAGCCUUCAUCCUUUGUAUUCUUGGACUCUUGUCAUGGACCAAGGGAUGCAAGAACCUCCUAACAGGCCUUGAUCUUUCCUCCACGGGAACAGCCUUAAACUUUUGGGGAAAGUAAGGCAACAAAAUGAGCAGUGCUAACGCAAUGUGUAAUCUGUUGCUCAUCAGCGGGAAGACUUUUAUUCAGUGGUCUAAGCAUUUUACAAAUAGUAACUUAUUUAAUCUUCACAGCAAUGGUCCCACUUCAGUAUUCCUAUUUUCAGAUGACAAAACUAAAGCACAUAUCGAUGACAUAACUGGACUAAGAUCACACAUCCAGCCUGUUGCAGAGCUGGAGUGGGAGCCCAGAUCAUCUGGAUUCAGAGUCCAUGGUGCACUUAUUAUUCUGGAAGUAUCUAGUGCUGUGCCCUUGGCUUGGCAGUGUGGUUCAAAAUCCAAUCCAGCGUGGUUCAUGGUCCCUUCCCUCUAGUAGCUUACAAUCUCUGAGAAGCUUAUGUUUUGAAGGUUUUGCCUUAUAAGGACCUGUACCUCACUUAGUCUUCAGCCCUCUUUACAAGUACAUUGAACUCACUUAGUUACAAGGAUUACAAACAAAUACUACAGGGAUGUGAUGGGUAGUUGUGUGUGUGUCCAUUCCGCUGGGCUAUGGUGCCCAGUUGUUCAGUUAAACACUACUGUAGAUGUUGCCGUGAAGGUGUUUUUAAAGAUAACAUUAACAUUCAAAUCAGUAGACUUUGACUAAAGCAGAUGGCCCUCUGUAGUGUGGGUGGGCCUCGUCCAAUCAGUCUAAGGCCUUAAGAGAAAAAACUGAUCUCCCCCAAGGAAGAGGGAAUUCUACCUCCAGAUGGCCUUCAGACUUGAGACUGCAGCAUCCAUUCUUCCCUGGGACUCUAGCCUGCAGCCUGGCUUGCACAUUUCAAACUCACCAACCUCCACAAUUAAUUGAGCCAAUUCCCUAAAAUAAAUUUCACUCUCUUUCUCUAUCCAUACUAUUGGUUUUGUUUCUCUGGACAAUCCCGACAAAUACAAAGGAAAACAUGACAUUCUGGGGUCUCACUAAACAAAUUCUUCAGUGGUAAAUAACUUCCGUAGAUGGGUAGCUAGAAUACAAAUGAAGACAUCUGAGAACUGUGGAAUCCUCUUUACGCUUUCUGCAAUGCUGAUGUGCGUUAUGGUAUGUGAGGAAUAAGUUGAAUUUGAGAAGGCAGAGAUUCCUUAUUCUGAAGUGUCUCAGCCAGGUAUUGGCUCUUACCAUUUCAGCCGCAGAGAUGGCGCUCCCAUCUGCAAGGUUGGGCAGGGGUCCUCUCCCAGUCCUCUGAGAUAGGUGAGCAAGACACAGAAAUGGCUGUGGGGGGACCAGCCUGAACACUGGUUGAUGAGCAAUGCACAGAGAAUUCGCUGAAAGUACUCUCGGGGACAAGAGUGCCCCCGAGGGACUCCAUUGGUGUCCGAGAGUAAUAGAGUUCCUGCAGAGAGGAGACCGCAAAUGGCAUUUGCCACAAUUUACCCACCUCAAAAUAGUGACAACACCAGCCUUUGUGAAGCAAAUCAAGUGGGAAAAAAAAUCACUUUUACAAAAUGGGAACAGUGCCUCUUAGUGCCACGUCACAGUGAUAAGCACUUGGAUCUUAUUCUGGGUGAGAGUCAAAUGAAACCCCAAAUGUUCUUUUGAACAAGACUGUUCCACUUAAUAGAACUGCCACUCAGUGAGUCCUGUUGUUCUCCCCACGGGCCCCUUGCUGAGCCUUGGAAGCAUCCUCACAGAAGACUUGAAGCUUUGCUGAUUUAAAGCAUCCUCCUGCUCAAGUCUUGGCCAGGAAAAGUCAGGUGGGAACCCAUUUGUGACUCAAGCCCCCACCUAUCAAUAGAGCUGGGUUCUUAAGUUCGUUUGUGAGUAAUGUGUUGAGAUGAACUGGAUCUGUUAUUCCUAGUGGCACCCUCAGCUGUGUCACUGGUGGAGUGGGGGCUUGGGGCUGCCUUGGAGCCCAGUCACCACUAAAUGUGUUCCUCAUUUACAGGUCACUUGUCAUGCACAGGUCAUCCAACCAUCAAGUCUUGCCCCAGUCAAAGAGGAUUGGGCCUUCCUGCCUCAGUUAGCUGAACCUGUGAGCUCCUUGAAGGCAGGGUUGUGUCUUAGAUAUUUUAGUAUCCUCAGAUGCCUUGCACAGUUAGGGCUGAGAAGAAGGUCAGUCAAUAUGUGCUUGAUUAAGUAAAACCAACCUCUCUGCUCUCUGGAAGCCUGUUUUCUUCUGUUUGGUUUGAAGUGGUUAAUGAAGUCUUGGCUUGGGUAGAGCCUUGGCUCUAACUGAGAUUCUGUGAUCUACUGUGAAUUAUAGGGAUGUACUCUGCAAUGAGUCGUGAAGCUUCUGGGGCAGAAAGGAUGUGUGGGUGUGCUUACAGAGCAGUCCAACCCUGUCUCCUACCUCGGCCUCAAGCAGUCUAAGGGAGUCUGGUAAGGGAGGCAACCACAGCAUUUGGGAAGUUCUUAAGGUCACCGGCUUCCCUCUUUUGAGACAAGUAUCAGAAGACUUGAGAUUUCAAAUGAAAUGUCUGCUUAUUCUGUUGUGUGGACAGCUCAGGAGUUCACAUAUGAGUAAAGAGGAUACUAACCACCAGCUACUCUCUUCAAACCAUGUACACUGUCCAUUGCAGUAAAGCAUUUGUCUCUGUUUUGGAAUAACUUACGAAGUUGAUGACCCCUAGGAGUUCUAUAAGAAUUUUGUCAAGUCAUCUUAUCAGAAACUUAAUUUGUAGGGGUAGGCACAGUGGCUCACCCCUGUAAUCCCAGCAUUUUGGGAGGCCAAGGCGGCGGAUCACUUGAGGAUAGGAGUUUGAGACCAGCCUAGCCAACAUGGUGCAACCCCAUCUCUACUAAAAAUACUGUGUAUAUAUAUAUAUCCCAUCUCUACUAAAAAAUUGACCUGGGUGUGGUGGCGCAUGCCUGUAAACCCAGCUGCUCGGGAGGCUGAGGCAGGAGAAUUGCUUGAACCCAGGAGGCAGAGGUUGCAGUGAGCUGAGAUCAUGCCACUGCACUCCAGCCUGGGUGACAGAGCGAGACUCUGUCUCAAAAAAAAAAAAAAAAAGAAACUUAAUUUGUUUUGGCCAAGGAAAACAGGGCUUUAAGCACCCUUAAAUCAGAUUUGCUCUUUUAUAAUUGUUUUGUCAAAGGGACUUCUCUGCUUUCAUUCUCAGCCACCUCUGUCUUUGUCAAGUGGCUCACGCCUGUAAUCCCAGCAUUUUGGGAGGCCAAUGCAGGUGGAUCAGGAGGUUAGGAGUUGAAGACCAGCCUGGCCAAUAUGGUGAAACCCCAUCUCUACUAAAAAUAAAAAAUUAGCCGGGCGUGGUGGUGUGCGCCUGUAGUCCCAGCUAGUCAGGAGGCUGAGGGAGAAGAUAUACUUGAACCUGGGAGGUGGAGCUUGCAGUGAGCUGCACUCCAGCCUGAGCAACAAAGUGAGACUCCGUUCCCCCCAAAAAAUUUUACUGAUGAAACUUGGGCCAAAGGCUUGGGCAUGGACUUCCCAGGGUAGGGAAAGAGGGAACAGGCAGGGUUAUAUUUACUCUUAUUUCCCUUGUUAAGGCAAGGAUGCUUAAUUUUAGUGGUGAUGACGAUAAAAAUGAUGUUAACUAGCAUUCACUGAACAUUUGUUACGUGCUUGGCAUGGUACUAAGCACUUUGCGUGCAUUAUCUCACACAAUUCUCCCAACAGCUCUACAAAAUACACUCUAUUCCCCCACCCCGAAUUUUAUAUAUGAAGGUGUGAAAGGAAAAUAAAUCUCAGGACCGCAAAAUCACUAAUCCAAGGGAAAAGUCAAGCCGGGAACUGCGUCAGGCAAACCUGCCUCCCAUUCUAUUCCUAAAUAAGAUAGCUACAAAGAUAAAAAAGCUACAGAUCCCUUUCACAAUUUGCCCACCAGGAAAUUCCUUGUGGUCUGCAAGAUCUUUACCCUAAAAUGGUUCUGUUGAAUUACCUGACAAUGUAAAUGGAUAGCUUAUCUUCAUGGGUGCAGGACAAAGGACAGAACUCAAAGUCAUCCCUCUGCUCACCUGAGACAAAAGCAUAUCUGAUUGUUUUUUUCUGAUGUAAAAAUGAAGGCAUAAGUGAAUAUUCCUCCACCCCCUCACAUGUAAAUUGUCUAUUUAAUGAAAAGCUGAACAAAGACUCAAAAGAAUGCAAAGUUUGUCUCUUACCUACCCACACCUUUAAAAAAUUUCUUCCUUUUCUUCCAAUAUCUGCCCUUUCCCCUUUAAAUAAGCCUUCAAAAUCAUCUUUGGAGAAAGGCACAGACCUUCCUCCAGGGCAUGUGUCCUUAACCUUGGUAAAAUAAACUUCCUAAAUUGGUUGAGAUUCCUCUCAGAUAUUUUUUGGUUUACAGAGCAAACCGAGGUUUAAAGAUGCUGCGGUAGCAUGCCCAAAGAUCUAUCUUAACUGGGGACACAGAAGCAGACUCUCAGAUGAGGAUUUGUGUGCAGGAGAUUUGUAAGGAAGGGCUCCCUGGAGGAACCUGGUAAAAGAGUUGGGGAAGCUGGUCUGGGAAGGGGCCAGGGAUGAUCUCAGAGGGUGGCUUACACCUGAUUCUGCAAGCAGGGAUGGCUGCAGGGCCGUGCGCCUGUGCAGUCACACGGGCCCCACACUUAGGCCUUACACUUGGGUUGAUGCUCUGCUGUUGUUGCUGUCUUGAAAUUCUUCAUACUGUUUGAACAAGGGAUCUGCUUUUUCAUUUUGCACUGGGUCUUGCAAAUUCUGUAGGGAGUCCUGUCCCCAGGGCAGCUCUAAAGUAUAAGUGCCUCAGAGCUGCCCCACCCAAGGCAAGGAGCUGGGGCUGCAUGCUCUCAUCAUCAGCCAUUCAUUGGUCAUCUGUUAAGGGCUGCCCCAGGGGGACAUAUGUUCCUGCAGGCUAUAGGUUCCUUCUCUGUGCAAGCAAAGCAGCUGUACUACUCUGCAGGCAAUACUGCUGAUAAAGAGCUGCAGGUGAUGGCUGUUGAAAGUGAAAACAUUCUUAGGGGCCUCAGGAUUCAAACCUGGGGCUGGAGUUUCUAACCCCUCUUCCUGCCAGAGGUCAUGUGCUUCCCUGCCCUGCAGUGACGGUGGCUUCAGUUCCGCUAUGAGUCCUGGAGUCCUCGGGCUCCUCCUUCCCUUCUUUUUGUCCACUGCUUCUGAUUGUGGAUAAAAGGGGAAGUGAAAGAAUGAUAAGGAAGAUUGGGCAGUGGUGCAAACUGCUAGGAAAACCAUGAUUCACCUUCCUGGAGACAGUCCCUCUGGCCUGGGUGGGCCACCCACCGAUCCAUGAUGAUGUCGCCAUGCCAAUCAUGCCAGUUCAGCCUUCCCUUCAGAUGUGUAGUCCUCAAGUGUUUUCUAACAAAACACACAUAUAUAUGUUUUUCUACUUUGUCAUCUCCUGUGAAUUUCUAAGAAAAUGUAAUUCUUUUUUUUUUUUUUUGGACAGGGUUUUGCUCUGUUACCCAGGCUGGAGUGCAGUGGCAUGAUUGUGGCUCACUGUAGCCUCUGGCUCCUGGGCUCCAGCCAUCCUUUGGCUUCAGCCUCCUGAGUACUUGGGACCACAGGUGCACCCAACCACACUUGGCUUUUAUUUUAAUUAAAAAAUUUUUUAAAUUAUUUACUUAUUUAUUUAUUUUGAGAUGGCGUCUGGCUCUAUUACCAACACUGGAGUGCAGUGGCACGAUCUCAGCUUACUGCAACCUCCACCUCUCAGGUUCAAGCGAUUCUUGUGCCUCAGCCUUCCGAGUAGCUGGGAUUACAGGUGCAUGCUACAACUCUCAGCUAAUUUUUGUAUUUUUUUGCAGAGACAGGGUUUUGCCAUGUUGCCCAGGCUGGUCUCGAGCUCCUGACCUCAGGUGAGCCACUCACCUCAGCCUCUCAAAGUGCUGGGAUUACAGGUGUGAACCACCAUUCCUGAGCUUUUUAAAAAAAAUUUAUUUUAAUUUAUUAUUUAGUAUUUUGUAGAGACAAGGUCUCACUAUGUUGACCAGGCUUGUCUACAACUUCUGGCCUCAAGCAAUCCUCCUGCCGCAGCCUCCCAAAGUGCUGGGAUUAUAGGCAUGAACCACAGCACCUGGAUGAAAAUGUAAUUCUUACGGCCUUGAGUCUUUGUGUUAAGCUCCUCAAACCGUGUGUUUUAAAGAACUUUUAAAAUUUCAGGCUAAAAAAUAAUAAUGACAUGUUUGUUCUUGGCAGGCCGGGUGUGUCUGUGCCUAUGUAUGUAACAUGCAUAUCCUCUAUUACUGCAGUGUAAAGAUUCACGCAAGUGUCAUUAGUUUUACAGUUCUAUACAAAGUUUACCAGUUUUAACUCUAGGGUUAGGUUGUUGAAGGCUUGACUGAAGAGUCCUUCCGAAUGGCACACUCAUGAGCCAUUACCAGAAGCUUUUAUGGGCAGAGGUGGGCCGAUCACUUGAGGCCAGGAGUUUGCGAGCAGCCUGGCCAACAUGGCGAAACCCCAUCUCUACUAAAAAUACAAAAAUUAACUGGGCUUGGUAGCACACGCCUGUAGUCUCAGCUAUUUGGGAGGCAGAGGCAGGAGAAUUACUUGAACCCAGGAGGCGGAGGUUGCAGUGAGCCAAGAUUGCGCCACUGCACUCCAGCCUCGGUGACAGAGCGAGACUCCAAAAAAGAAGCUUUGAUGGAAGGGAAAACAAGCAGGCAUACAAAAUGGUCCCCUGAAACACCGCAUUUGCAGAGGAUGGAUUCGAAGUCAAACAGCAGGGACUUUCCUUCUUAAAAAUUAUGACUCCUGCAAACAUGUCCAUGGGUUGCUAUGCAACAGGCACAUCCAGUCAAUACAGAGCACAUAAAUUAGCAAUAAACGUGAGGGCGAAAUUGCUUUCUGAUUUUUUCCACCAGAAACUUCCUGGAAAUGUUCAAACACUUCCUGCAUAUCUGUGCCACGCCUGAAAAAGUGUCCCUCUCUGUUCAGUGGGCACCAGCUCCUAAGAGCGUUUAAAGAUCUUGACUUUGAAAGUUUGACUGCUUGUCCUAAGCUGCUCAUUCAUCCCUGGGUUGCUGUCCUCACCAACUAGACCACGUAUGGGAGAAGAGUGAACCAGGUCUCUUCUAGAAUGCAAUGCCAGGACUUUAAAAUUGCUAUCCUUUGUCCCCUUUGUGUUCAUUAUCUUAAUGACCCAUUACUUACCUCAUCUUACCCUCUUCCUCUUAUCCUUAGCAUUUUUGCAGUGUGCUUACUUUGUCUUUUAAUUAGGUCUGAUUCAUUGGGUAGCCAAGGUGAUGCACUCAUCCUGCUGAAAAAGAAUUCAUCCAUGUGGUUCAUCCAGGGCAUCUGGCUAAAACCCAACACACAAACCACUGCUAAACCUCAGCCUUCCUUGCAUGGGAAAGCAGCAGAAAGUUCUCUCUCUUUUUUUUUAUUUCCACAAAAUCUACAUCCUCAAAGCACGCAGAGAAGCAAAUGCUGGCUAGAAGUGUCAUUGUUUACUCAAGACACUGUACAAAAAAAGAGGAAGGAGCAGACGUUUGGCCACCAAAGCAAAUCUGAAGGAAUCUUCGAAGGAGGAAGAGUCUAAGAAUUUAAGAGGAGGCCAUGAUGACACGACCAUUUUUUGCAUCUUUAGGCAAGCCCUGAUACUUAAUGUCCCUUAUUUAAGCCUUUUAUGCACAAACAUCUUGUCACCUCCACAUCACAGCUAGUCCCAGCAAGGAGAGAAACUGGCCAAGAUAGGCGUUUUCAGGGAGUUUUCUAGGGAAAUGAGGAGAAGUGUGAGUAGAAGGAAGGAGACAUGCAGGCUUGGUGGACACUCCGGCAAUGCUCAUGCCAACCCAUGUGGGGAGCCCUUUCUGAACUCAUCCCUCCAGUCCCCCAAGUACCACUCCUGUUACCAUGCCACACAGAACAGAAAUCCCAGCUUGGGAAAUAGUGUCCUCAACUAUUAAAGAAUUGAUUUUUUUUCAAAGACAUCCAGAAGAGGAGACUCCAUACCCUCCCAUUCCAGUAUGAAAAUCGUGACUUAUAUCCAAAUAGUCUCUUUCCAAAUGCUUAUUAAUUUUACUUCCUGGGAAAUCUCCUCUUUCAACCUAAACUAGGAUAGUCGCAGAUAGUUCCUAUAAAAACUCUCUCUAGAUCUACUGCAGACUUGGCUCCCAGAACCAAAUACAGACUUGCAGUCAUUGUAUUCUCUGUCUCUCUCAUCUGCCACUUCACCUUGGUGCACCAUGUUAUCACAUCUAACCCCACACAACCUUGGAAAAACUACAGAUGAAAAAUUUCCAUUUUAGUUUUGAUAUUACAAGCCUGUUUUGAAACUCUGAAUUUUUAGUCCUAAAAAUGGUACUAUCUAAUAGAUGUUGUGAUACUUUUCUGUCUAAUGGACCAAGAUGGCUGCAAAUACAAUGCAAAUAGACCAAUUAACUCCACAUUUCCUCAGAAGUCAGGGUAAUAGUGAAAAACUGUUUUAAUGGAUAGAAUCCAUUAUCAUCGAGGGCCAUAAACUUGAGUCUUUGAAAAAAUAAUGAAUCAGAUAGUUUCAUACUAAUAUUGCUCCUUUUUCCUCCCUUUUAAGGUACCUUCUAAUAUUACCCGAAUCUCCUGAUAAUGAAAGAAUUGAACAAUUAGAUUGAUCAUGAAAGGUUUUACAGUAUCUUUUCCUCAUUAUACCUAUUAUAAGGGCCUUGUCUAAUUUGAAGGACCUAGAUUUUUUAAACUGGUAUUAUUGUUUCUAGCUGUCUGAUUUGUACCAAUAUUCAGAUAUCACUGAUACUUCUGAUGGUGAGUGUUUAUCUAGAUGUCUUUGAGAAAGGCAUUUUUCUUGCCACUGUCUGUUUCUCUCUCCACUCCUUUUUUUAGUACCUAUGCUGCUAAAGGGAGCACUAUCUACUCCUCUCUUAUGUUCAGAUCCUUGGUACAUGGUGCAAAUCACCUGGCUUAACAGAUGUUGGCAUUUUGGUGACUUUCUCAUUCCUUCUUGGGACCAUUCUUGCCGGUGCUUGGCUCAUCCUUCCCUUCUCAUGUACAAAGGACUUGAACACUUUCAGUGGACAAAGUUUAUCAAAUAUGUUUGCAUAAACCCCUCUUUCUGUCUUUCAAGCUACAAGACCUAGGUUUCUCUGCUUAACAUUUGCUUCAUUUUACUAAGCCUGACCACACAUUGUAUAGAAUGCGAUUUCCUUGUUUCUGAGUGAUACCAGGUCUUCAGGGCCUACAUACAAGGCUGGCUACAUAAUUUGUAAGGCCCAGUGAGAAACAGAACUUCAGAGCUCCUUGUUAAAACAUUAUUAAGAAUUUCAAGCUUGUGACAACAGAGCAUCAGACCAAGAGCGGCACCCUGUGUAACUGCCCAAGUCACACCUCCAUGGAUCCAGCUCUUCAUACAUGUAUAACUUCAUAUGAGUAACACUAGGCAUGAUCUGCAACUUAGCCUUAGUUUGUUUCUUUACUAUUUUUAGUUUGCAGACUAAGAUCAUUGCUUAUUUCUCAGUGCUUUGAAAAUAUCCCAGUGACUUCUGACUUCUAUUGUUGUCACCGAAAAGUCUGCCAUCCAAAAGAAACUAUCAAGAGAGUAAAUAGACAACCUAUAGAAUGGGAGAAAAUAUUUGCAAACUAUGCAUCUGACAAAGGUUUAAUAUCCAGCAUCUAUAAGGAACUUAAAUUUAUAAGACAAAAACAACCCUAUUAAAAAGUGGGCAAAGAACAUUAACAGACAUUUUUCAAAAGAAGACACACAUGCAGUCAACAAGCAUAUGAAAAAAACUCAACAUCACUGGUCAUUAGAGAAAUGCAAAUUGAAACCACAAUGAGAUACCAUCUCAUACUGGUCAGAAUGGCUAUUAUCAAAAAUAAACAAAAACAGAUGCUGGCAAGGUUGCAGAGAAAAGGGAACACUUAUACACUGUUGGUAGGAGCGUAAAUUAGUUCAACCACUGUGGAAAGCAGUAUGGCAAUUCCUCAAAGAGCUAAAAACAGAACUACCAUUUGACCCAGGAGUCCCAUUACUGGGUAUAUAUCUAGAGGAAUAUAAAUCAUUCUACAGUAAAGACACAUGCACGUGAAUGUUCAUUGCAGCACUAUUCACAAUAGCAAAGAUGUGGAAUCAACCUAAAUGCCCGUCAAUGACAGAUUGAAUAAGGAAAAUGUGGUAUACAUACAUCAUAUAGUACUAUGCAGCCAUAAAAAAGGAAUGAGAUCUUGUCCUUUGUGGGACCAUGAAUGGAGCUGGAGGCUAUUAUCCUAAGCAAACUAAUGCAAGAACAGAAAACCAAAUGCCACACAUUCUCACAUGUAAGUGGGAGCUAAAUGAUGAGAACUCAUGAACACAAAGAAGGGAAUAACAGACACUGGGGUCUACCUGAAGGUGGAGGGUGGGAGGAGGGAGAGGAGCAGAAAAGAUAACUAGUGGAUACUGGGCUUGAUACCUGGGUGAUGAAAUAGUCUGUACAACAAACCCCCGUGACACAAAUUUCCCUAUAUAACGAACCUUCACAUGUACCCCUGAACCUAAAGUAAAAGUUUUUUUUUUUUUUUAAGUCUGCUGUCAAACUGUUGUUUCUUUGAAAGUAAUCUUUUCUUUUUUUUUUCCCAAUUGAUUUUGCCCUUUGGCAGCUUUUCCUUAUAAUGCCUCUAGAUUUUUAUAUCUCGUUUUGAACUAAUUAUGCUACCUGAAUCUGAUUUUCAUCUUGUUCUAGAAAACUGUCAGACACUAUCUUAAAAUAUUGCCUCUUACCCCAUUCUUUCUUUCUGGAGCUCCUAUGUAAUGCAUGCUAGAGCUUCUCAUUUCAUCUUCCAUGUAUUUAAGUUCUCUUUCAUGUAAGAAAUAUCUUUAUCUUUCUGUGUUGCAUUCUAGGUAAUUUGUUUCCAAACCACUUCCUGGAUGAUCAAUUCUCUCUUUGGCAAUCUUUGCCCCGUUUAUUAAGUUUUUAUUUUUAAUGUUACACAUUUCAUUUCUAGAGGUAACAUAUGGUACUUUUUCAAAUAUGCCUGGUCUUUUAAAUUUAUUUUCUCAAAAUUUUGAUUUCUCCUUUUACAUUUCAGUUAUGUUAACAACAAUUCAUAUCCUCCUUCUGAUAGUUCUAUUAGCUGAUGUUCUGGGGGUUCUGGGGACUCAUUACCUGUGCCGCCCGUUGUGUCUGUUUAUUCUUGUUUGUAGUGCACUCUUGCUCAUGUCUCUAAACGCAUUUUGUAAUUUUCGAUUGUGAGCUUCUAUUUAAAAGAAUGUGCUCACUAUGGGAAUCUUGUGUGGCAGAGGUUGAAGAUUGGUUUCUAUAGAGAAGUUUUUUAUUUGUUUUGGCAAGUGCUCUUGUGAUAUUGGGACUCCUUUUAUGUUAAUUAAUUGACGUAGCUUUCCUAGACCAUACAGGUGAGUAAACUUAAGCUCCAAACCCAUGUGAAGUGUGGUCUGUGGUUAUGAAACUUGAGGUGACCUUGUUUUCCCUCAGCGGAUCUCCCACUGCUCAGGCAGCCAAGUGUCAGCACUUUUUCUUGUGCUCAGACCUUCUUUAUACUCAGUCUCUGGGAUUUCCUUCACUCAUUUCAGCUGUGCUUUUAACACCACACUUAUUAUUUUUCUACAGCAUAUUUAGGCGUUUCUGUGGCCAGAAGCUUUUCAGAUUCUCCUCUAAGAUAUUGCCAAAAUGAUAGUUCUUGUCAUCCUGAAUUUCUGAACACAGAAAAAGUUUUCCCACGAUGAUUACAGAUUUUGAGAUCUCUCUAGAUACUAGGGACAUCUUUAGAAAGCAGGCCAAGAGCCUUGACCAAACUUACGGCAAUUCUAUUGUACUGAUCAGAAAAUAUCACUUACUUUUGCAUGUAGAUUUUAUUUAGAUGAGAGUUAGGUUUUGUUUUGCAAAGAAAAUAGCUAAUGUAUUCUUUGCUAAGAAUGACGGUGAUACACAGCGGUUGGAUUUAUUUAAUAAAAUGUGAGAUGUUAAGAAAAAAAUCUUAGGAAUUUGAAGACACUGAGAGUGUUCAAUGCAAAAAAAAAAAAAAAAAAGGCAGAGAGAGAGGGUGUUUCAGUUGCCUGCACCAUACAUACUCGCUGGUUCCGAAUAAUGCAAGGAUUUCUCUCUUCUGUUCCGGUCUUUUGAUGUUGAGUUUCCUGCCCCUUAAAUAUCUGCUUUACCAGAAAAUGAGAAAGUCUUCACCCAAAAAAACAGCACAGAAGUGAAGCCAAGUGACUGUAAAAGGUUUCAUAGCCUGGUCAACAGGGAGGCAGCUGGCGAUCACUUCCUGCCUCACCCUGGAGGAAGGAGCUACUAAGGAAAGGGACGUCUAAGCUGAAACAACUUCAGGUGGUUCCUGUCCCUCUCUAGAGACUUUAAAGUCUCACUGCAUGGAAUGCCCUUGAUAUCCAGACUGGGAAAAUCUAAGCCUGUGGACCAGGAAGAAAAGUCAUUCAUUUAUUCAUUCGUUUAUCACUCCUACUACUCAUGAGAGUCAAGUGAGGGCUGUCUGGGGACUUAGGGUAGGAAACUUUCAAUAUGGCUAGAUAUAUGCACUUAACUAUUUCUUUUUCUUUUGGAUUGACAGUCUUAUUUACUCUGAAUACAGGGCAUUCAUAAUGCUCAUUGUUGCUGCUACUAUUCUGUGAACACAUGUUUAGAAAAAAACGUGGUGCAACGGUAUGGGAAUUCUGAGUUCACUUGUUCAUCCAUUUUUUUCUUUAAAUAACAUUUAUCCAGUGGUAUGUUAUAUAGAGCUUUGUACUGGGUGGAGUGGGGCUAAAAAGAUGAAUGAUAAAUAGUUUCUACCCUUAGGAAUCUCAGUCUAAUACCAUGUGGGGGAUGGGGCAGUAUAUUUACAGAAAGAAAUGCUACAUGGGGCAUAUUUAACCCACAAAUGAUCUAACUGAAGAAUCAGAAUAAAUAUUUCCAUACAUUUUAAUUGUGGUAAAAUAUACACAACAUAAAAUUUACCGUUUGAAGCUUUUUUUUUUUUUUUGUAGACAGAGUCUUGCUCUGUUGCCCAGGCUGGAGUGCAAUGGCACGAUCUUGGCUCACCACAACCUCUGCCUCCUGGGUUCAAGCGAUUCUCCUGCCUCAGCCUCCUGAGUAGCGGGGAUUACAGGCGUGCACCAUCAUGCCCAGCUAAUUUUGCAUUUUUGGUAGAGAUGGGGUUUCUCCAUGUUGGUUAGUCUGGUCUCAAACUUCUGAUCUCAGGUGAACCGCCCACAUCAGCCUCCCAAAGUGCUGGGAUUACAGGCAUGAGCCACUGCACCUGGCCUAUUUGAAGCAUUUUUAAGCGUACCAUUUGGUGGCAUUCAUUAAGUACAUUCACAUUAUGGUGCAAACAUCACCAUCAUCCCGGAAGCCUUUGCAUCUUUCCAAACUGAAACUGUACCCAUUAAACACGAACUUCUCAUUCCCCUCCCCCUAGUCCCUGGCACCCACCAUUCUACUUUCUGUCUCUGUGACUUUGACUCCUCUAGGUGCCUCAUACAAGUGGAAUCAUUCAGCAGUUGUCUUUUUGCAUAUUGCCUGUCCAAAACUUUUUGAAUGGAAAGAAGUAUGUUUUACAGAAACAGGAAAGUCCCAGCCUUGUCUCUGACUGCUUCACCCCUUGGUUCAGCCCAGUGAAAGCUGGUCAACUUUCCUUAAUGCUCUGAGAUCCGUAAUAGCACAACCAUUUUAGUAUCUUUCUCUGAAGACUGCAACACGCUGUCAUGAUAUUAGUCAACUCAAGUCAACUGACAUUAUUAUAGUGCUUAUGAGGCUGCUCCUGCCUGAAAGCCCUUCACUGCCUCCCUGGGGUGUGGGUGGAGGAUGAGAUAAGCAGCUCACAAGUGGGACAGAACCCUGGCUCUGCGGAAAGCCCAGCUGGCUGCCACGGGUGGCAUGUUUCUCGGGGCUUCCUGUGUGAGCGCAUAGACAGCCCUGCUAGUCCCUCAGCCCAGAUGCCUGCCAGAAACCCAAGCCCUGAGGAUGCCCCUCCAGAUGUGUGCUGUGAACUGAGCUUUCUGAAAUCCUUCUCCUGGGGCCAGACACUCAUCAAAGCGCCAACUCUAUCGCAGACUGCAUUUGAGUCACCUGUUAUGUUUGAGAUCCGCCCUGUGUUGGGAGCUGAAACCUGUUGGCUGGUCUUGCUGGGGUUAGGGAAGGGCCUGAAGUCUGGAAGAGGACUAGGUCAAGUUUCCUGCUGUACUUCUGAGGUCCUGGACGUGAAGCCGAAAUGCUGCAGCUCACAGCCAGUGUGGUCAGCCGAAUGGGAGUCAGCUCUGGGCGGCUUAUUGCCAUGAACAAAGGAGCUCAGUUGCUGGGGUUCACCUCCUAUCCCAUCAGAAUACAAGCUGCACUGGGGCUAGAUGUCCACGGCUGUAUCCUCAGCACCUAGAAGAGAGUCUGGGACCAAGUGUGAACAUCUAUAAACCGGAGGAAACAUCUGUUGGCAGGAUAUUUAGUAUAGCAAUAUCUUUGGAUAAAAUAAUCAACAAACAAAAUUAUGUUGUUGGAAACCAGAAAACGACACCACUGAUGAAUGUACUUAGGCUACUUAAUCAAGAAAUAGUCGCAAUGAUUCUACUUCUGUCUUCUUUUUUAAAAAAAAUUUAAUUAGUUGUUUUAUUUUAGAAUAGCAUUACUGAUUACCUUUCUUCCCUGGAAAUUAACACAUUUCGUAGAGACUUAAGGAUGCAUCAAUGAAAUACUUAGAAUUGAAAGAGGAAAUGAAUUACUUGAUUUCUCAGGAUGUGUGUGUCUAUUGGUGCUCUAGCACAGUUAAAUGCUAAUAUUGCCACUGAAAACUGAUGCAACUUUUGUGAAGCAACAGCUGUAACAGGGCCUCUGUGUAACACUUCCUUGUGUAGAAUUAAAAAAAAAAAAGCUUAGGUUUUAGAAAAUAUCAGAAAAGCACCUCUUUAUAGGCUUACCACAUAAGUACAUUGUUUUCAUCCCCCAGUAGACUGCGAUUGGCUUUGACUGGGGAGUUCCUCAUUUGUCUCCGGGGUUGGGGCCCACUUCUGUUUUUUGACCACUGACCAGCUAUGCUGUCUUCAUAGAAAUCAGGCAGUGGGCAGUGACCUGGUUCUUACUAACUCUUGUGAUGCCUCACGCGAUGUUAUAUCUGUCACCAGCACGCUCUCCUCUCCUGAGAGAGUGUUAGAAAAUUGCGUGGUCUGGGAGUGCAGGGGUUAAUGAACAGUUCGGAGAUUAAUGCUUCCUCUCCUUGUGGUCCCAGAUGUCUUCGGGAAUGCUUGAAUCCUCUCCCUUUGCAUCUUUUCCCUUAUUUGUAGGGUUACCUGUCACAUCCCUUUCGAACUUGCAGGGACCAUGUCUGGACAAAUUAGCCAAAGACUAUACCUAUGUUUGAAGCAAAAUUUAAUAUUCCUCCAAAAUUAUGGCUUUCCAAUUCUCCAUGGCUCAUGAAGAGGGCCCCUUACUCUUAGACAACAAAUAUUUCUGAGCACUGGCCGUGUUCCAGGCAGUCUGCUGAGAUCUGGAUCUGAUGAUGCAGUGGUAAAUACACACAGACCCCACCUCUGCUCUUUCAAAGCCUAUACCUGGUGAAUGGCAGAAACAAUAUUUCUCCACGCCUUACACUCAAUGAGUAACAAAGAGGAAUCACAGUUAUUGGCAUAGCUCAAAAAUUUUUUUUGUCAGAUCCAGUUUUGCCAAUCACUAUGACAGGGCCAAAUCUAUAAAACAUUGGGAGCUUUAUAGGAGAUAAAAUAUCCUCUAAAAUGUAGAGAAUUUUUAUAGCCCAAAUUCCUAUCCAGAGUCUCCAGCCCCUUUGGGACUAGACAGCCCCCUCAAGAUUCUCAGGGAGCUCAUCACAUUCCCCAUUGGGCAGUGUGACUAGAUAAGGGCCAAGGGCAUGAGUCAGUGUGGGAAGUGGCCCCAGCUCAGCUCAGCCACUGUGGCAGGCAAGAAGGAUGCCACGAACACCGCCAAUGGCCUCAGGGAGGUGGGUGGGUUGGAAGUGUGGUGGGGGUCAUGUUUGGUUAUGUAAAUAUGACUCCAGGCAGAGCCAGUGCUGAGUUUGAUGAUGGAGGAGGAUUGGAGGUAAAGCUAGAGCUCUCAGAGCCUUCCCUGGGAUAGAGAUUCCUGCUGACACUGCUGGCCAUGAUAGUCUGUCUGGGGAGCCAUGCUCACCUUCAGCUCCUGUGCAGAGAAGGGUGGCUGGGGAGGUGUUGCAUAGCUGGGGGCAUGCUAGGUGCAUUGAUGCCACUUGUUUCUCCACUUGGCUUCAGUCCAGAGCCCCACUCUGGGCUGGUGGCUGGGUAAGACCAUAGGUAAACAGUAGACUUAUAGUAUGGUUUGGGGGCUAUUUUGCUAUGAUUAUGUGGGCACGGGCUUUAAAGACUAAUGGCCCUGGUGUCUUCAUGCUACUCUGUAUGCUUUGAAACCUAAUGGCCUUCUGGCACUGCCUUUCAGUUGUUGCAUGACUUAGGGUAACACUAGUAGCAGUAACAAAUAAAUGCUCAAAUUUCAGAGCCUUUCCACUGAUGCUUAUGUCUCAUUCAAGUCAGUGGGUGGCUUCCCUCCAGGUGGUAACUCAGAGAUCCAGGCUCCUUCCAGGAUGUGACUCUGCCAUCUCCUAAGGCCCUGGAGAAUUCUGCGUGGAGGUGGAAGGUGACAGAGAGGGCAUGUCUUACCACCUUAGCCCAGAGUGAUACAUAUCACUUCUAGUCAUGUGUUGCUGAGGUAAGGCAGUGGCCCCCAAACUUCUUGGGCACCAGACAAUUUUUCCAUGGACUGGGGUGGUGAGGGGGAUGGUUUCAGGACGAUUCAAGCACAUUAUAUUUAUUAUAUUUAUUGUGCACUUUAUUUCUAUUAUGAUUACAUUAUAAUACAUAAUGAAAUAGUUACACAACUCACCAUAAUGUAGAGUUAGUGGGAGCCCUGAGCUUGUUUUUCUGCAACUAGAUGGUCCCAUCUGGGGGUGAUGGGAGACAGUGAGAGAUCAUCAGGCAUUAGAUUCUCAUAAGGAGCAACCUGGAUCCCUCACAUGCGCAGUUCACAAUAGGGUUCACUCUCCUGUGAGAAUGUAAUGCUGCUGCUGAUCUGACAGGAGGCAGAGCUUAGGUGGUAAUGCGAGCCAUGGGGAGUGGCUGUAAAUACCAAUGAAGCUUCACUUGCUCCCCUGCUGCUCACCUCCUGCUGUGUGGUCUAGUUCCUAACAAGCCAAGGACUGGUACCAGUCUGUGGCUCUGGGUUUGGGGACCCCUGAGAUAGGGGACCAGAAUGUGUAAUCUCACAAUUUCUACACUAUGGAAAGAGCCACGUGAGUGUUGCUGAACAGUUAGCUUCUCUGCCUUGAUAAUGGGGUAAACUUCCAAAGUCUCAGUUUCCUCAUCUGUAAAACAGAGAAAUAGAAGCUCUCACCAGCACCUCUGAGAGUUAUUGUGAGGAUCAGAGCUAAUGUAGGUGAUGUGACUAAUCUAGUGCCGCCGUGGUGGACAGUCAACUCAUGGCUGUGAUUACUGCCAGCAAGAGGGGCUGUCUUAUUUACAGCAAGGGGGAUCUAGUCUCAUCCUCUCCUCCAGCUCCUUUAAGUGCUCCAGAUCCAUGCCUGUGCUUCUGCCUACAUAGGUUUUAUAAUGACCAUUAAGCAAUACGCAUUCCGUAUGAUGAUUAUUAUGUAAAUCUAAGUAUAUUUCAUGAUUACUAUGUAAUAUAUAUUAUCUAUUGUGAUUAUUAUGUAAAUGCAAGUGAGCAUCUCACUCCAACAUAUGUUUCAUGGACUAAAUAUUCCUGGGGCAUUGACAUAAGCUUUUAAAUAUUGCUCCAUUGUUUGCUAUCAUUCAAAAAGGCUUUUGUUAUAAAAGCAAUAGAGGUCACUGCAAAAAUUACGAAGGCACAGACAGCUAUAUAAACUGGAGCUUAAAAUCUGCCUGUCUACCCUUGGGUCCUCCUACCCAGUGAGCCCUACUUGGAUAAGUAAUUUUCAUGAACAGUUUUGAUAAAUCUUUCCAGAAAUACUCUAUGUUUACAUACAAGCAUAUGUAAAUGCUUUUAUUUUGCACAAAAGCAAAUCAUGCUAAAAUGUUAUUCUGCAACUCCUUUUUUUCUUUUUCCCUAUUUCCAUGUUUGGUCUAACUCAUACUGUUUAAUAGCCACACAGUAUCCCAUCGUGGGAAUGAGCUACAGUUUAUUAAACUAGAGGUGAGAGCUUUUGUGGUGAGUAGAAAGGCAUCAGAUUCUUCUUUCUUCCAUGUGAGCAGAUGGCUCACUCUCCAAAGUUACUUUCCCACCAGGUACCCCGAAAAUCGCAGGCCCAUAUGGGUGCAUCCAGAGUCCGUGUGCUUCUUGCCCCUCAUUGUCCAGGCAGUGGACAAGCUUGAUUCAAAAGCCCCUGCUUAUUUUAUCAGGGUUGAGGUCAUGGGAUGGAAUAAAGGGUCAAAAGACUGCAGGAACCCCUUCUCUGUGCCUGUAGCCUCAAGCUCAUCCAAAACAGCAAAAAUAUAUUAUACUUGUUGUCCUCCAGGGCACUAGGGCAUGUGGUUCAACUUCAAAAAUAUAGGCCCUGAGCCUGUUGAUUAUAAAAGGAAUCUCCUUCUGUUGCACAGUUUAUUGUGGUUAACUCUUCUUCUUCCUUCUUCCUUCUUCUUUCCCCUCCCCCUGCCUCUUCCCUCCCCUCCCCUCCCCUCCUCUCCC